UUGGAGGGCAAGUCUGGUGCCAGCAGCCGCGGUAAUUCCAGCUCCGAUAGCGUAUAUUAAAGUUGUUGCAGUUAAAAAGCUCGUAGUUGAAUUUCGGGGUUCUACCGUUGGUCGGGCUAACCAGUCUGUACUAGCGUGUAAAAUUCCUACCUUCUGGAGAACCAUCAUGUUAUUAAUUUAGCGUGGUGGGAAACCAGGACCUUUACCUUGAAAAAAUUAGAGUGUUCAAAGCAGGCUUACGUCUGAAUACAUUAGCAUGGAAUAAUAGAAUAGGACGGUGGUCCUGUUUUGUUGGUUUCUGAAUCACCGUAAUGAUUAAUAGGGAUAGUUGGGGGCAUUAGUAUUCAAUUGUCAGAGGUGAAAUUCUUGGAUUUAUUGAAGACUAACUUCUGCGAAAGCAUUUGCCAAGGAUGUUUUCAUUAAUCAAGAACGAAAGUUAGGGGAUCGAAGACGAUCAGAUACCGUCGUAGUCUUAACCAUAAACUAUGCCGACUAGGGAUCGGACGAUGUUAAAUUUUAUUGACUCGUUCGGCGCCUUACGGGAAAC
Molecule: ribosomal RNA, 547 nt
Filed under: uncultured Glomeromycotina
Lineage: Eukaryota; Fungi; Glomeromycota
Description: SSU rRNA
Rfam family: Eukaryotic small subunit ribosomal RNA
Source: RNAcentral